Molecule: ribosomal RNA, 301 nt
Filed under: uncultured bacterium
Lineage: Bacteria
Description: partial 16S ribosomal RNA
Rfam family: Bacterial small subunit ribosomal RNA
Source: RNAcentral
CAGUCGCCGCGGGAAUACAGAGGGUGCGAGCGUUAAUCGGAUUUACUGGGCGUAAAGCGUGCGUAGGCGGCUUUUUAAGUCGGAUGUGAAAUCCCUGAGCUUAACUUAGGAAUUGCAUUCGAUACUGGGAAGCUAGAGUAUGGGAGAGGAUGGUAGAAUUCCAGGUGUAGCGGUGAAAUGCGUAGAGAUCUGGAGGAAUACCGAUGGCGAAGGCAGCCAUCUGGCCUAAUACUGACGCUGAGGUACGAAAGAAUGGGGAGCAAACAGGAUUAGAUACCCCCGUAGUCCCUGUCUCUUAUAC